UGAGGAAUAUUGGUCAAUGGGUGCAAGCCUGAACCAGCCAUCCCGCGUGAAGGACGACUGCCCUAUGGGUUGUAAACUUCUUUUGUAUAGGGAUAAACCUACCCUCGUGAGGGUAGCUGAAGGUACUAUACGAAUAAGCACCGGCUAACUCCGUGCCAGCAGCCGCGGUAAUACGGAGGGUGCAAGCGUUAUCCGGAUUUAUUGGGUUUAAAGGGUCCUUAGGCGGACUUAUAAGUCAGUGGUGAAAGCCUGUCGCUUAACGAUAGAACUGCCAUUGAUACUGUAAGUCUGGAGUAUGUUUGAGGUAGCUGGAAUAAGUAGUGUAGCGGUGAAAUGCAUAGAUAUUACUUAGAACACCAAUUGCGAAGGCAGGUUACCAAUAUAUAACUGACGCUGAGGGACGAAAGCGUGGGGAGCGAA
Molecule: ribosomal RNA, 420 nt
Filed under: uncultured bacterium
Lineage: Bacteria
Description: bacterial SSU rRNA
Rfam family: Bacterial small subunit ribosomal RNA
Source: RNAcentral